This 707-nucleotide long non-coding RNA is filed under the name Bemisia tabaci. RNAcentral describes it as "lncRNA ENSSSA3NGG003504". The record is from RNAcentral. Lineage: Eukaryota; Metazoa; Arthropoda; Insecta; Hemiptera; Aleyrodidae.
GAGCUACUAUGAAGAAGAAUUAUUGGGAGGAAAAGCACCAGGCUCCAACAAACUUGUUAACAACGAGGAGAAGAGGGAUGGAAGGAAGUCGUCCGAAAAUAUUUGAAUUCACCUUUUCGAUCCAAGAAAGUCUCAGUGCCUCCAAAUGCCAUCAGCCGCGUUAUUGGGCGAGGUGGAUCCAAUAUCAACACCAUUAGAACAACAACAGGUGCUUUCAUCGAAAUAGAAAAACAAAGUAAAGGUCAAGGAGAACGUAUAAUCACAAUCAAGGGCUCAAUGGAAUCUACGAAGCAAGCUCAAAAUUUGAUCCAGGCUCUCAUCACUGAUCCUGAACUAGACUUAGUGCAGAUGCUGCCCAAAACUGCCAAGACCCUAGCCACGGCAUGGCCUGAGAAAACACCGGCUAAUAAUAAAACUAAAAUCGCGGUCGUCUCUAAAACUACAACUGGGUCAUCACAAGCACAACUCCUGCAGAAUGUUUCCACAAGUACAUCUGUUUCAACUUCACAAGUUUUAAAUGCAUCUUCCUCAACCAAUCUUACUGGGUCACGAAACUUAGUUUCCUCAUCGCCCCUCCCCACAACUCCAGCCUCUCCACGACAAGUAGCUACCGGUAAGUUAAUAUAAGUUAAUACUCUCAUAUUAGCACCAGGGUUUUUUCAGGCAACAAAUACUGUAUGAUUCAUUAAAUAUACACUAUACUGGAU